Molecule: ribosomal RNA, 451 nt
Filed under: uncultured bacterium
Lineage: Bacteria
Description: partial 16S ribosomal RNA
Rfam family: Bacterial small subunit ribosomal RNA
Source: RNAcentral
GUGGGGAAUAUUGGACAAUGGGGGGAACCCUGAUCCAGCCAUGCCGCGUGUGUGAAGAAGGCCUUUUGGUUGUAAAGCACUUUAAGCGAGGAGGAGGCUACCGAGAUUAAUACUCUUGGAUAGUGGACGUUACUCGCAGAAUAAGCACCGGCUAACUCUGUGCCAGCAGCCGCGGUAAUACAGAGGGUGCAAGCGUUAAUCGGAUUUACUGGGCGUAAAGCGCGCGUAGGUGGCCACUUAAGUCAAAUGUGAAAUCCCCGAGCUUAACUUGGGAAUUGCAUUCGAUACUGGUUGGCUAGAGUAUGGGAGAGGAUGGUAGAAUUCCAGGUGUAGCGGUGAAAUGCGUAGAGAUCUGGAGGAAUACCGAUGGCGAAGGCAGCCAUCUGGCCUAAUACUGACACUGAGGUGUGAAAGCAUGGGGAGCAAACAGGAUUAGAAACCCGUGUAGUCC